This 429-nucleotide ribosomal RNA is filed under the name Pseudomonadota bacterium. RNAcentral describes it as "Proteobacteria bacterium partial 16S ribosomal RNA". It matches the Rfam family "Bacterial small subunit ribosomal RNA", at positions 355 to 776 of the family's 1533-position model. Lineage: Bacteria; Pseudomonadati; Pseudomonadota. The record is from RNAcentral.
UGGGGAAUAUUGGACAAUGGGCGAAAGCCUGAUCCAGCCAUGCCGCGUGUGUGAAGAAGGUCUUCGGAUUGUAAAGCACUUUAAGUUGGGAGGAAGGGCAGUAAGCGAAUACCUUGCUGUUUUUACGCUACCGACAGAAUAAGCACCGGCUAACUCUGUGCCAGCAGCCGCGGUAAUACAGAGGGUGCAAGCGUUAAUCGGAAUUACUGGGCGUAAAGCGCGCGUAGGUGGUUCGUUAAGUUGAAUGUGAAAGCCCCGGGCUCAACCUGGGAAAUGCAUCCAAAACUGGCGAGCUAGAGUAGGGCAGAGGGUGGUGGAAUUUCAUGUGUAGCGGUGAAAUGCGUAGAUAUAGGAAGGAACACCAGUGGCGAAGGCGACCACCUGGGCUCAUACUGACACUGAGGUGCGAAAGCGUGGGGAGCAAACAGG